Molecule: long non-coding RNA, 1513 nt
Organism: Tyto alba (common barn owl)
Lineage: Eukaryota; Metazoa; Chordata; Aves; Strigiformes; Tytonidae
Exons: 2
Source: RefSeq, a predicted model, not a curated record
AGCGCCACUAAAUCUCACCCUAACGUCCCUUCGCUUUAGGAGAUACUUGCGAGACUGUUAGAGGGAUCCAGGUGGCCACCUCCUGGACAGCAGCUCCCCAGCGGGCAUCCCGGGAGCGGCGGCGAGAGACCCCCCGAUGGCAUCUCAGACAUUAUCCCCGGACGGUCCUUCCAGGCGACACGGCGGGUUUCGGGUCAGCCCUGGCAGCGAGGGAUGCCACGAAGUCGGUGGUGCGGGACCGGCAGGAAGCCCUGGCGCGGGCGGUAGAGCCCCGCGGGACGUGGCGGUAGCCGCCGCGGCCAGGAGCCUGCGGGAACCCGGGGCAGAGGCGAGCCCGCAGCCUCUCCUGCGGGAGACGCUCUCACCAAACGCGAGAAGAGGGCUCCUGCCGUCUCCCUUCAAAACUACUAAUUAAUAAUCACCCGGGAGCGGGGGAGGGGAGGGAGGAUUAGCUUCUACGAGCACGCGUGGGACAGCUCCUGGGAGCUGCGCGCCGAUGCAGUGUAGUGGCAGAGGAUGCGGGGGAAGCUCCGCGACCCGCGGGCCCCGGCCCUUGCGCAUCUUCACCGGCCGCGCUCAAAACCGCAAACGGCGCGUGGGGCCGUGGCUCGGCACAGCCCAGCAGAGCACCGCCGCCUCCCCCCGGCCGCCUCCCCCUCCCCUGGCAGCUAAAAUAAUAAAAGAAACGCCACGAACAUUUACCUGCUUCUGGAAAGAUAGAGCCCGUUGUCUUCCCGGUGACAAUUUACACUUCGGUAUUUUCUUCCCUCCGCGGCAUUAAAGGUUACCGCAAGCAUGGCCAAUCUUGAAACGAUGUUUUAAAAGUCAAAGGGUAAAUGCUACAACAAAAGAAAUUACAGUAGGUGGUUAUUAGAAUAGCCAAGUAUAAUUUCAUUUUCUCUUUAAACUCUUUAACCAAAACAGCCGGUUUCGUAAUUAGUAAAUUAACUUUCACAAACUAUCUUCGAAUAAUUCCCUUUUUAAACGUCUCUUUUGAUGGGUAAGUCUAUUUAUUACGGAAACCUACGUGUAACGUAAGAGCGAAAGAUUUGUUGAUUAUCUUUGCCGAUAUUAAAGAUCGUCUAAGCUUGCAGAAUCUGACGCUUCUUAUGGGUACACACAAAACUAACCCACUCGCGGACGGCAAUUGUGAACGCAGACCAUGCCCGGGCAGGGGGCGACCGCUGCCCUUGCCGACACCGCCGGCCCCCCGGCCUUGCUCCCGCUCGGAUCCCCCCGCCCGCCUCGGGGCUCCCCCCCACCCCGCCUCGGGGCUCCAGCCAGCGCACCCCCCUGUACCCGCAGGGGCCUGGCGGGGCCACGGGGAAGUGCAGAAUCGGGAGCGGGGCUGCCGCUGGGUUUGAUCCUUUCUGGGGCGGACCGACACCUGUGGUCUGUCCCUUUCAUCUCCGUCUCUAAAAUGGACAGCGUACAUUCAGAAAAAAAGAAGUCUUUGGCCAACCUAAGCGGAGUGUUUAAUUUCCCGGUAAAACUAGACCUCCCUUGGUAAAAA